ACGUAGGUCCCGAGCGUUGUCCGGAUUUAUUGGGCGUAAAGCGAGCGCAGGCGGUUUAAUAAGUCUGAAGUUAAAGGCAGUGGCUUAACCAUUGUUCGCUUUGGAAACUGUUAGACUUGAGUGCAGAAGGGGAGAGUGGAAUUCCAUGUGUAGCGGUGAAAUGCGUAGAUAUAUGGAGGAACACCGGUGGCGAAAGCGGCUCUCUGGUCUGUAACUGACGCUGAGGCUCGAAAGCGUGGGGAGCAAACAG
This 250-nucleotide ribosomal RNA is filed under the name uncultured bacterium. Its description in RNAcentral is "partial 16S ribosomal RNA". It matches the Rfam family "Bacterial small subunit ribosomal RNA", at positions 525 to 775 of the family's 1533-position model. The record is from RNAcentral.